RNAcentral lists this ribosomal RNA (440 nucleotides) under uncultured bacterium. RNAcentral describes it as "partial 16S ribosomal RNA". It matches the Rfam family "Bacterial small subunit ribosomal RNA", at positions 338 to 795 of the family's 1533-position model. The record is from RNAcentral.
CCUACGUGAGGCAGCAGUGGGGAAUAUUGCACAAUGGGGGCAACCCUGAACCAGCGACGCCGCGUGAAUGAAGAAGUAUCUAGGUGUGUAAAGCUCUAUCAGCAGGGAAGAAAAUGACGGUACCUGACUAAGAAGCCCCGGCUAACUACGUGACAGCAGCCGCGGUAAUAAGUAGGGGGCCAGCGUUAUCCGGAUUUACUGGGUGUAAAGGGAGCGUAGACGGCGCUGCAAGUCCGGAGUGAAAGCCCAUGGCUUAACAAUUGUACUGCACUGGAAACUGUGGAGCUUGAGUGCUGGAUGGGCAGGCGGAAUUCCUAGUGUAGCGGUGAAAUGCGUAGAUAUUAGGAGGAACACCGGCUGCGAAGGCGGCCUGCUGGACCGUAACUGACGUUGAGGCUCGAAAGCGUGGGGAGCAAACAGGAUUAGAUACCCUAGUAGUC